AAGGGAACCUGAACACAGGUGCUGCAUGGCUGUCGUCAGCUCGUGUCGUGAGAUGUUGGGUUAAGUCCCGCAACGAGCGCAACCCUUAUCAUUAGUUGCUACGCAAGGGCACUCUAAUGAGACUGCCGGUGACAAACCGGAGGAAGGUGGGGAUGACGUCAAGUCCUCAUGGCCCUUAUGUGUAGGGCUUCACACGUCAUACAAUGGUCGGUACAGAGGGUCGCCAACCCGCGAGGGGGAGCCAAUCCCAGAAAGCCGAUCGUAGUCCGGAUUGCAGUCUGCAACUCGACUGCAUGAAGUCGGAAUCGCUAGUAAUCGCGGAUCAGCAUGUCGCGGUGAAUACGUUCCCGGGUCUU
This 356-nucleotide ribosomal RNA is filed under the name uncultured Limnobacter sp. RNAcentral's name for it is "bacterial SSU rRNA". It matches the Rfam family "Bacterial small subunit ribosomal RNA", at positions 1020 to 1382 of the family's 1533-position model. The record is from RNAcentral. Lineage: Bacteria; Pseudomonadati; Pseudomonadota; Betaproteobacteria; Burkholderiales; Burkholderiaceae.